AAACGAUCGCAAGUCGUCUCCCNCNAANAGGNGGCUCGUACAGUAUACAUCAACCCUUAUUGCACCUUCCUUCUCAAGGUGUGGAACAGGUAAGCAACUUUGGCCGCCCAUAAGCCAAGAUUACUUUUUGGUAACUUGGCUUUGGUGUUUGGUCGUGCUUGCCGGUGUAUUAUCGUUUCAACGCUACCUUGAGUCGGGCUUAAUCUUUGACUGCGUGCAGUCAUCUGUACGAGUGUAUUUUUCGCGGUGACGUGCGCCACGGCCGUCGUUGUCAAGUUCAUUAAUUUGGCCCUAAGCUAAGGUGUGGUAGGUGCCGUGCAUGAGCCUAGUGUUCUUGCGUUAGCGGUUCUCUUCCACUUAAAGGCUUAGGUUUUGCAAAGAGCAACAACACUUGACCUAAACAAUACGAAUCGUUGUAACCCGCUUUCAGGGGAUACACAUUCAGCAUGAUAUUUAACUUGAGGUUAGUCAAACUUCAAGAUCCUUGCUCAUGUUAAAGGUUCAAAGUUGCCCAACUUGCAAUGACGAUUAUAUUGAGAAYCCSCUUCGGUWANGCUGGCCCCACAAUUNUCCACGUUUUGCGACACAAGCUCCGCGUUNCNCUAUGACNUGCUUGUCAUGGCCUUUNGGAUUCAUUCCAAGGCCUUGUUUCAAUCAAUUAUGUAGCUAUAGAGNGUGUUGCCUUGAGCCACACCAAGCUACCAAGAUCAGGUUUGCAAACGGNCUUCAUNGCCAGGGUUGUUUGGAGGCUUCGGUCAUCAAGCAAUCUUGGUUGANGAARUACGUUGUGCUCGUGGUUNKUUGAAGGCCGGCGGAUCACUUUCUGCCUUGAGAUAAGAGAGCGAAACCGANCAGAUCGUGGUGAUUUGGCGAUAUCAUUACCCGUCCCGUCUUGAAACACGGACCAAGGAGUGUAGCAUGUGCGCGAGUCGAGCAAGUUUCUUUUGUGAAGACUUGUCGGCGUAAUGAAAGUAAAUGCGAAUACUUGAUGUUCGUUGCGAUGUGAUACUCGUCUGCUCCGGCUUGUUCAGGGGCUUACAUAACACAAGAGACGAGUAGCAACAUCAACCCGCGUUAUAAAUGCCCGCUUGUUCUGUAGAUGAGCGCCUUCACGGGCCCUUUUCUGCAUGCUCGCGAAGCACGGAUUUGGCGGAGUUUGAGCGCACACGCUGCGACCCGAAAGAGGGGUGAUCUAUGCGAGAUGAAGUCGAAGCCGAANCCUNAAAGGGGUGGAGGACUGU
Molecule: ribosomal RNA, 1241 nt
Filed under: Chaetonotida sp. 1GASIIA3
Lineage: Eukaryota; Metazoa; Gastrotricha; Chaetonotida
Description: partial 28S ribosomal RNA
Rfam family: Eukaryotic large subunit ribosomal RNA
Source: RNAcentral